UAAAACGUAACCACAAAUUAGUCUAGAUA
This 29-nucleotide non-coding RNA is filed under the name Mus musculus (house mouse). The record is from RNAcentral. Lineage: Eukaryota; Metazoa; Chordata; Mammalia; Rodentia; Muridae.